RNAcentral lists this long non-coding RNA (289 nucleotides) under Arabidopsis lyrata. Its description in RNAcentral is "long non-coding RNA (ALYR_LNC001736)". Lineage: Eukaryota; Viridiplantae; Streptophyta; Magnoliopsida; Brassicales; Brassicaceae. The record is from RNAcentral.
AAACAUUGACAUUGAACCAUAUAUGUGAUAAUCAAACGUUCUGCCACUUAUUGACACUUAAUGACAACCAUGAGAUAAAGAAGUAAGCAAAAAAACUGCUCUCGAUUCACCAAACAAUUACUGUCUCAUGACUUACUUAGUACUAACAAUGUUUCUUAAAAAAACUGCAGAGAACAGAGCUACAGCGGGUUCACCGGAUCUAAUGCUCCGGCCACCGUGCAGUCGUCCAUCAGCAGGGUUCGAUCCUUCAAAUCUGUCUCCGGCAAAUUUCUUAUUAGGCUUUUUUGUA